Molecule: microRNA precursor, 83 nt
Filed under: bovine alphaherpesvirus 1
Lineage: Duplodnaviria; Heunggongvirae; Peploviricota; Herviviricetes; Herpesvirales; Orthoherpesviridae
Description: Bovine alphaherpesvirus 1 miRNA Bhv-1-mir-B6-1
Source: RNAcentral
GCGGCGGCGGGGCGGCCGCGGGGCGGGCGGGCGGCGGCGGCGGCGGCGGCGGGGCGGCCGCGCGCCAACCCCCUUGUCCGCGG